CACGUAGGGUGCGAGCGUUGUCCGGAAUUAUUGGGCGUAAAGGGCUCGUAGGCGGUUUGUCGCGUCGGGAGUGAAAACACCGGGCUUAACUCGGUGCUUGCUUUCGAUACGGGCAGACUAGAGGCAUGCAGGGGAGAACGGAAUUCCUGGUGUAGCGGUGAAAUGCGCAGAUAUCAGGAGGAACACCGGUGGCGAAGGCGGUUCUCUGGGCAUGUCCUGACGCUGAGGAGCGAAAGUGUGGGGAGCGAACAGG
This 253-nucleotide ribosomal RNA is filed under the name uncultured bacterium. RNAcentral describes it as "partial 16S ribosomal RNA". It matches the Rfam family "Bacterial small subunit ribosomal RNA", at positions 524 to 776 of the family's 1533-position model. The record is from RNAcentral.